UUACAUUAAAGCUGUUUCCAAGGAAGUAGAAUGGAUUGACUAGCUUUUCUAUACUUAUGCCGAUAGCUCAUCUGGCAUGAUUGACCCAGAAGGCAUCAAAAUUAUUUCCUCUCAUCUUGAGUUUCCCCAUACCGAGGCUCGGAUUCUGAUGUUAGCAUGGAAAAUGGAAAAUGGGCUGUAAAGCAAGGUUAUUUACUCUGGUGUGCAUUAUUUUUAAACUAUUAAAAAUGUUUAUCUCUAUAAUAUCAUAGUCAUUUUGAAGUUUUACUGGCAUGAAAGCUCUGUGAGCUGAUAGUAUUAGUAAGCUGAAGAAGUCAUUCCCCGAACUAACCAAAAAAGUGAGUAGUCCAUAAGUAUGUAAUUAGUAGUUAAUUAUAUUUGAAAGGUUUGUAUUUGUGACGGGUGAAAUAACAGCUGAAUGUUUGGGUUAAUAGAUAGGUUGUAAGUAUGUAACUUGCGUUGUCGUCGGGCCUGAGAUAUUUUGCCUGAAAGGUUGUCAUGCAGUUUCAGCCCAAAAUUUAAUGUUUAAUGGUCUGUAAGUUCAGUGCCACAGAUCAGCUGCAAAUGAGUAUCCAGCCUCUCUAUCGCCUAUGAGGUUUCUACGCUGGGCUCAAGGCUUUGUUCUAUUACAUGUGAAAGGCUCGCGGUUUAUCUGAACAGAAAACAAUAGAUGGUGUUACUUGGAUUUUUUUAU
Lolium rigidum is the source of this 694-nucleotide long non-coding RNA. RefSeq lists it as uncharacterized. The transcript is spliced from 3 exons. The record is from RefSeq and is a predicted model, not a curated record. NCBI's taxonomy places the organism in Eukaryota, Viridiplantae, Streptophyta, Magnoliopsida, Poales, Poaceae.